RNAcentral lists this transfer RNA (81 nucleotides) under Paragonimus heterotremus. It matches the Rfam family "tRNA". Rfam says of the family: Transfer RNA (tRNA) molecules are approximately 80 nucleotides in length. Lineage: Eukaryota; Metazoa; Platyhelminthes; Trematoda; Plagiorchiida; Troglotrematidae. The record is from Rfam by way of RNAcentral.
GGCUUCGUAGCUCAGCUGGUAGAGCGCUUGCUGCGUUUUGGCAUGGUGUUUCUCUCGUUGGUUUGAAUCCAGCCGAAGUUC